GGUAGAGAGAAGCUUGCUUCUCUUGAGAGCGGCGGACGGGUGAGUAAUGCCUAGGAAUCUGCCUGGUAGUGGGGGAUAACGUUCGGAAACGGACGCUAAUACCGCAUACGUCCUACGGGAGAAAGCAGGGGACCUUCGGGCCUUGCGCUAUCAGAUGAGCCUAGGUCGGAUUAGCUAGUUGGUGAGGUAAUGGCUCACCAAGGCGACGAUCCGUAACUGGUCUGAGAGGAUGAUCAGUCACACUGGAACUGAGACACGGUCCAGACUCCUACGGGAGGCAGCAGUGGGGAAUAUUGGACAAUGGGCGAAAGCCUGAUCCAGCCAUGCCGCGUGUGUGAAGAAGGUCUUCGGAUUGUAAAGCACUUUAAGUUGGGAGGAAGGGUUGUAGAUUAAUACUCUGCAAUUUUGACGUUACCGACAGAAUAAGCACCGGCUAACUCUGUGCCAGCAGCCGCGGUAAUACAGAGGGUGCAAGCGUUAAUCGGAAUUACUGGGCGUAAAGCGCGCGUAGGUGGUUUGUUAAGUUGGAUGUGAAAUCCCCGGGCUCAACCUGGGAACUGCAUUCAAAACUGACUGACUAGAGUAUGGUAGAGGGUGGUGGAAUUUCCUGUGUAGCGGUGAAAUGCGUAGAUAUAGGAAGGAACACCAGUGGCGAAGGCGACCACCUGGACUAAUACUGACACUGAGGUGCG
This 692-nucleotide ribosomal RNA is filed under the name Pseudomonas fluorescens. RNAcentral describes it as "bacterial SSU rRNA". It matches the Rfam family "Bacterial small subunit ribosomal RNA", at positions 68 to 755 of the family's 1533-position model. Lineage: Bacteria; Pseudomonadati; Pseudomonadota; Gammaproteobacteria; Pseudomonadales; Pseudomonadaceae. The record is from RNAcentral.